This is a long non-coding RNA of Nicotiana attenuata, 1202 nucleotides long. RefSeq lists it as uncharacterized. NCBI's taxonomy places the organism in Eukaryota, Viridiplantae, Streptophyta, Magnoliopsida, Solanales, Solanaceae. The transcript has 4 exons. The record is from RefSeq and is a predicted model, not a curated record.
CCCAAAUGUUUUAGGCAAAAUAACAAAAUCAAAACCCUCCAUUCUCUCGGAAAACAUACAUAUCCAAAAGGCCAAAAUCUAUCCCAAACUUUUCGAUCUCAAAAGGCAAAGAGAAAGCUGCCAGUUUCUUUCCGUCUCUUCCAUCGUCUUUGUCAUCGUAGUCCGUCAGCCACCACUAUUAACACCACAAACAACCACCUCCGAUCAUCUCUUCAAAUCGUCCAGAAAUUCUAAUUUCUUGACUAAUCUCGACUAACAUAGCGGGUAUCUUCAAUUUCUCACAGAGCCUAAUAAUAGUGGCAGAUCCAAUUCCUCGCUGAAAUUGCCGCUGGUUGCUGUGGGAGAAACCAUCGAUGCAUAAGAAAGAGGAUGCUAUUCAACUAAUAAAUACCAGCUUAUAUGCUCGUUUACCUGGAGAAGCUUCCUCUGUCCAACAAGAUGCUAUUCGACUAAUAAAUUGUCUAUCUACUGGUUGUAACAAUCAAGAUAAUGGUCAAAUCUAGAGGCGGGAGUGAUAAACAAAAAGGGAAAGCAGAGUCCUCCCGAGGAAGGGGACGAGGAAGAAUCAAGUUACCCCUAGCAGUACAACAAUCCAUUGGGAAGAUGCGAAAGGCCAUCAAAGCUGUGGACAGAGCCGCAUCCCAUUCCGAAGGAAGUGAAUAUGUCCCUUCCCGGGACGUUUCGGAAGGAGACUCAGUGCCAACCCACGUUCCUACAGACUUUCCAGAGAAAUUUCAGUUGCGAGACGAACCUACACCCUCUGCUUCUUCUGAGUCGUCUGAUGGCUCAGAGGAGAGUAGUGAGGCUUCAGCAUCAGCUUCUCCACCUGCCACACCUUUGGCCUCACUAAUGAACCCUAUUGAUGUAGAUGCUGAGAUCCCUGAUGACGGGAGAGGUGGUGACACCCAGGCAAGGGGGUUGGAGAGAACAAGGAACCCCGUGGUAUAGCAAGAACGGUUCGUUAGUGAGAAAUCCUAUCACAAAUUCCGGGAAUGGUGGCCGCAGAGGUCUCUCACCCUCGAGAAGCAAUUCAUAGAAAGGGACUUUCUACCCCACAACCCCAAUGUGAAGGGCAAUUUGAUGACAAAGGGGGGUGGAAAUUCUUUACAAGCAAGCUGCUGGAGGCCAAUGAAUAUUUAGUAGCGAAAAGUCACUCAAACUACCAUGAGGUAUAGAGUGAGUAAUUAUGUGCAAAGGUUAUA